UGGGGAAUUUUGGACAAUGGGGGGAAACCCUGAUCCAGCCAUCCCGCGUGUGCGAUGAAGGCCUUCGGGUUGUAAAGCACUUUUGGCAGGAAAGAAACGUCGCGGGUUAAUACCCCGCGAAACUGACGGUACCUGCAGAAUAAGCACCGGCUAACUACGUGCCAGCAGCCGCGGUAAUACGUAGGGUGCAAGCGUUAAUCGGAAUUACUGGGCGUAAAGCGUGCGCAGGCGGUUCGGAAAGAAAGAUGUGAAAUCCCAGAGCUUAACUUUGGAACUGCAUUUUUAACUACCGGGCUAGAGUGUGUCAGAGGGAGGUGGAAUUCCGCGUGUAGCAGUGAAAUGCGUAGAUAUGCGGAGGAACACCGAUGGCGAAGGCAGCCUCCUGGGAUAACACUGACGCUCAUGCACGAAAGCGUGGGGAGCAAACAGGAUUAGAUACCCUGGUAGUCCACGCCCUAAACGAUGUCAACUAGCUGUUGGGGCCUUCGGGCCUUGGUAGCGCAGCUAACGCGUGAAGUUGGACCGCCUGGGGAGUACGGUCGCAAGAUUAAAAACUCAAAUGAA
RNAcentral lists this ribosomal RNA (564 nucleotides) under uncultured bacterium. RNAcentral's name for it is "partial 16S ribosomal RNA". It matches the Rfam family "Bacterial small subunit ribosomal RNA", at positions 355 to 909 of the family's 1533-position model. The record is from RNAcentral.